ACUUGGAUAGUUUAUUUAAAAUAUUAGCUUGUGGGGCUAGAGAGAUUGUAGGGAUUUCAGGUA
Molecule: transfer RNA, 63 nt
Filed under: Curculionoidea sp. 28 KM-2017
Lineage: Eukaryota; Metazoa; Arthropoda; Insecta; Coleoptera
Description: tRNA-His
Source: RNAcentral